CUAGAAGGUUACUCUAGCUCAGUGCCUAUCAGGUUGUUGUUGCGAAGGAUUUUACAGCUGUACUUAAAGAAGAUAAUCUAUGAUCAGUCCAUCUCAACAGUAUGAUCACAGAGGAGUGUGAUCAGACAUGCUAUUUGAAUGGUGUAUCGGGGCUUCUAAACCUCAUGAAACAAGACAGAGGUUAACCCAGGCAACCAUCAGGCUGUAUCUGAAAAUUGGCCUGCCUUCAGAAGAUAAAAGAGCAGUGGGAGGGUCUCUUCAGGCACACACAACUAGUGAGUGAAUUGCUAAAAAUCCUUGAUCUUCAAGACAUGGAAAGAAGGAGUUUUCUGAACUUGGACGAAAUUGGUAAACUAGAAGCUGACAGCAAAAUGGUGGUGCCCCCCCCCACAUAGUGGGGUUGGGGACUGCAUUACAUGGACAUCCUCCAGUUGGAGGAGAGCUUUGUUCCUAGGAGAUUUCUUGGGUCAGGUGAAGACAGCGGGAUUCUUGCAAACCAGAUAGGAGCCCGUCCCAAGAAAGGAUUCCUGGUGGGCCACUUCCUGUUCACAUUGCUGUCUUUCUCACGAGAAUCCAUCCUUAUUCCCUGUGCCUCCUUGUAGGCUCUGACAGAUGGUGGCAUCCUACUGGACUCUGACUGAGCAAAGCGAGAAAGAGCCAAUGACAUGAUACAGCAGCAGUGGUGCUGGAGUGAGGCAAAAUCCACGGCCAACACUCACAUUACAAGAACUGCAGCAAGAAUGAAAAAUACUUAUGUGACUGCUUGUGGCAACUCCAAAUAAAAAUAACACAGACACUUCAAGA
Oxyura jamaicensis (ruddy duck) is the source of this 804-nucleotide long non-coding RNA. RefSeq lists it as uncharacterized. Lineage: Eukaryota; Metazoa; Chordata; Aves; Anseriformes; Anatidae. The transcript is spliced from 3 exons. The record is from RefSeq and is a predicted model, not a curated record.